UUUUCCUUCUGACCAAAGUGUGGAGUAUUUUCUGAUGAAAGGGGUGCCGAACUACAUUGGUAGUGUAGAUAUAAGUCCGGAGUCAUGCUACCUACAUCAGGAGCUUCUAAACUUGAUGCUAGUCCUUUUGUCGACUCAGUUAUGUUCUGGACCAUCUCCAGAACCAAAAGAUGUGCAUCCUUUCAUUGAUGCGGCUAUGCUUCAGGAUGCUUCCAUAGUAGCUUCCGUUGUUCAAAAGUUGCUACUUAAUUUUGUAAGACGGCCACAAAUUCCUUC
Triticum aestivum (bread wheat) is the source of this 276-nucleotide long non-coding RNA. RefSeq lists it as uncharacterized. The transcript has 4 exons. The record is from RefSeq and is a predicted model, not a curated record. Lineage: Eukaryota; Viridiplantae; Streptophyta; Magnoliopsida; Poales; Poaceae.